RNAcentral lists this ribosomal RNA (512 nucleotides) under uncultured bacterium. RNAcentral's name for it is "partial 16S ribosomal RNA". It matches the Rfam family "Bacterial small subunit ribosomal RNA", at positions 28 to 507 of the family's 1533-position model. The record is from RNAcentral.
GAUGAACGCUGGCGGCGUGCCUAAUACAUGCAAGUCGAACGAAACUUCUUUAUCACCGAGUGCUUGCACUCACCGAUAAAGAGUUGAGUGGCGAACGGGUGAGUAACACGUGGUCAACCUGCCCAAAAGAGGGGGAUAACACUCGGAAACAGGUGCUAAUACCGCAUAACCAUAGUUACCGCAUGGUAACUAUGUAAAAGGUGGCUAUACUACCGCUUUUGGAUGGGCCCGCGGCGCAUUAGCUAGUUGGUAGGGUAAAGGCUUACCAGGGCAAUGAUGCGUAGCCGAAUUGAGAGGUUGAUCGGCCACAUUGGAACUGAGACACGGCCCAGACUCCUACGGGAGGCAGCAGUAGGGAAUCUUCCACAAUGGGCGAAAGCCUGAUGGAGCAACGCCGCGUGGGUGAAGAAGGUCUUCGGAUCGUAAAACCCUGUUGUUAGAGAAGAAAGUGCGUGAGAGUAACUGUUCACGUUUCGACGGUAUCUAACCAGAAAGCCACUGCUAACUACGUG